AAAGAUCACAUUUAUCAAGUUCAUCCAAAGAUAUUCCAAAUAGCAUGCAUUCCUAAUCAGGUUCUCGAUAAGUUAGGAAUCAUCCACAAAUCAUGUAGGAAUGUUCUAAAGUGCUUGAAACGUAGAGUUUAGUUACCCAUAGAUAUCUAGCUCUACUGUCUCUUAGUUGGUCAGAUUCUUUUCCUAUAAGAUGUGCCACAUUGUCAUGGUUCAGUGGCCGCAAGCGGUUCACCAUUUCAAGGUCCAAU
RNAcentral lists this long non-coding RNA (248 nucleotides) under Linum usitatissimum (flax). Its description in RNAcentral is "long non-coding RNA (LUSI_LNC002931)". The record is from RNAcentral. Lineage: Eukaryota; Viridiplantae; Streptophyta; Magnoliopsida; Malpighiales; Linaceae.